Coccinella septempunctata (seven-spotted ladybird) is the source of this 918-nucleotide RNA transcript. RefSeq lists it as uncharacterized. The record is from RefSeq and is a predicted model, not a curated record. NCBI's taxonomy places the organism in Eukaryota, Metazoa, Arthropoda, Insecta, Coleoptera, Coccinellidae. The transcript is spliced from 4 exons.
AGGUAUGAGGAAAUGUCCCGUCGAGUGUAAGAAAUCAGCAACAUAAUUGAAUUCUGAGAAUAUAAAGUACUUAAUGUAGGUAAUAAUUUCUAAGGAAAAGAAGUGAUUUUUACAAAAAACCAACAUUUUACAUAAUAUCAAAGUAUGGAACGAAUCACCCUGUAUAGGUAAGUGAGAGAUUCCUCGAACAGUAUUCGUUACCUAGGUAACUGUUUACCUAGCAACAUAAUAAAAUCAAAGAGUAACCAAGUUGGUUACUCUUUGAUAAAAUGUCAAAGGAAAUUCACAACGACGUUUUAACGAGUAAGUUCAUCGAAUUUUCCAAAUACCAAAGCAGAGAUGAAGAAACAACUGGAAUAAGUUUAAGACAGAUUGAUCUUUGGCUGAGACAAGCCUCAAUUUUGGACAUGAAUCAUGUAACCCCAACGGAUACAGGUACAAUAUUUUUCAAGUUUGGAACUCGAACUAUCAAUUUCCAACAAUUUCUUCAAUUUUUGAGGGAUCUAGUAUCUGUUAGUGGUCACGCUCUGAGCGACAUAUUGAAAAAACUGGAAUAUUGCGAAGAGCCAAUGGAAGUGGAAGAACACGAUUUCUGUGAAAUUGAGACUAUAUCAACUAGGAGUCGAACUUCUAAAAAGAACUACCUGAGCGAUUUAAUGAAAGAUAUUUGAAGUGAAUGUGAUGUGGAGUUGAAAUUUGUUAUUGAGCUCAUAUACCUAAAUUUCUGUAUUAUCUGGCGCUUGACAAAACCUCAUCUGGAGUUGCAAACAUUGCAGCUCGAAUCUCCCAAAAGCCAUUGGAGAUCAGCAGGAAACCUCUAUGUAAAUUAGUUAUCAUUUUGCUUAAAAAAAUUCAGCAGCAUAUAGAAACAGCACCUGAUGAAUAGAAUAGAAUAGAAUAGAAUUGAACUCAAAUACA